This 468-nucleotide ribosomal RNA is filed under the name uncultured bacterium. RNAcentral's name for it is "partial 16S ribosomal RNA". It matches the Rfam family "Bacterial small subunit ribosomal RNA", at positions 28 to 507 of the family's 1533-position model. The record is from RNAcentral.
GACGAACGCUGGCGGCGUGCUUAACACAUGCAAGUCGAACGGAAAGGCCCUGCUUUUGUGGGGUGCUCGAGUGGCGAACGGGUGAGUAACACGUGAGUAACCUGCCCUUGACUUUGGGAUAACUUCAGGAAACUGGGGCUAUUACCGGAUAGGAGCUCCUGCUGCAUGGUGGGGGUUGGAAAGUUUCGGCGGUUGGGGCUGGACUCGCGGCUUAUCAGCUUGUUGGUGGGGUAGUGGCUUACCAAGGCUUUGACGGGUAGCCGGCCUGGGAGGGUGACCGGCCACAUUGGGACUGAGAGACGGCCCAGACUCCUACGGGAGGCAGCAGUGGGGAAUAUUGCGCAAUGGGCGGAAGCCUGAUGCAGCAACGCCGCGUGCGGGAUGACGGCCUUCGGGUUGUAAACCGCUUUCGCCUGUGACGAAGCGUGAGUGACGGUAAUGGGUAAAGAAGCACCGGCUAACUACGUG